Molecule: ribosomal RNA, 510 nt
Filed under: uncultured Glomus
Lineage: Eukaryota; Fungi; Glomeromycota; Glomeromycetes; Glomerales; Glomeraceae
Description: SSU rRNA
Rfam family: Eukaryotic small subunit ribosomal RNA
Source: RNAcentral
AGCAGCCGCGGUAAUUCCAGCUCCAAUAGCGUAUAUUAAAGUUGUUGCAGUUAAAAAGCUCAAUGUGUUGGUCGUGCCUUGGUACGUACUAGUUUAUUGAUUUCUUCCUUCUGAUGAAUCAUGAUGUCAUUAAUUUGGUGUCAUGGAGAAUCAGGACUGUUACUUUGAAAAAUUAGAGUGUUUAAAGCAGGCUCACGCUUGAAUACAUUAGCAUGGAAUAAUGAAAUAGGACGUUUGAUUCUAUUUUGUUGGUUUCUAUGAUUGACGUAAUGAUUAAUAGGGAUAGUUGGGGGCAUUAGUAUUCAAUUGUUAGAAGUGAAAUUCUUGGAUUUAUUGAAGACUAACUACUGCGAAAGCAUUUGCCAAGGAUGUUUUCAUUAAUCAAGAACGAAAGUUAGGGGAUCGAAGACGAUCAGAUACCGUCGUAGUCUUAACCAUAAACUAUGCCGACUAGGGAUUGGAUGAUGUUAAUUUUUUAAUGUACUCAUUCGGCGCCUUACGGGAAACCGU